UCAGAGUGAACGCUGGCGGUAGGCCUAACACAUGCAAGUCGAACGGCAGCACAGAGGAGCUUGCUCCUUGGGUGGCGAGUGGCGGACGGGUGAGGAAUACAUCGGAAUCUACUCUGUCGUGGGGGAUAACGUAGGGAAACUUACGCUAAUACCGCAUACGACCUACGGGUGAAAGCAGGGGAUCUUCGGACCUUGCGCGAUUGAAUGAGCCGAUGUCGGAUUAGCUAGUUGGCGGGGUAAAGGCCCACCAAGGCGACGAUCCGUAGCUGGUCUGAGAGGAUGAUCAGCCACACUGGAACUGAGACACGGUCCAGACUCCUACGGGAGGCAGCAGUGGGGAAUAUUGGACAAUGGGCGCAAGCCUGAUCCAGCCAUACCGCGUGGGUGAAGAAGGCCUUCGGGUUGUAAAGCCCUUUUGUUGGGAAAGAAAUCCAUCUGGUUAAUACCCGGGUGGGAUGACGGUACCCAAAGAAUAAGCACCGGCU
Molecule: ribosomal RNA, 485 nt
Filed under: Stenotrophomonas maltophilia
Lineage: Bacteria; Pseudomonadati; Pseudomonadota; Gammaproteobacteria; Lysobacterales; Lysobacteraceae
Description: bacterial SSU rRNA
Rfam family: Bacterial small subunit ribosomal RNA
Source: RNAcentral